RNAcentral lists this small nuclear RNA (110 nucleotides) under Pogona vitticeps (central bearded dragon). Lineage: Eukaryota; Metazoa; Chordata; Lepidosauria; Squamata; Agamidae. The record is from RNAcentral.
UUUUGAAACCUUUGGCAACACAUGUACUAAAAUUUAGAAUAAUACAGAGACCUUUAGCAUGGCUCCUGUACAGGAAUGCUAUGCAGAUUCAUGAAGCAGUGAGUGUUUUU